UGGAUUCUAAAUCUUCUGGCUGGGGAAUGUAGACAUUGGCUUAUGGUUGAUGGUGUAGACUGGUGAGAAUUCAAAUUUUUCUAAACUCAUGGUAAGCAUAUUGUAAAAUACAUAUGUACUAGGAAUUUUCAAAAUUGGUUUGUUUGGUGUGGAGUAUAUUCAACAGUAUUUUUGACAUUUUUCUUUAGAAAAGGAAGAUCUAAAGGAAUUUCAUAAGUUUUGUUACAUAAAGGAUUGAAAUAUUGUGAAUUUGAAAGUGCACUGCUGUUGGCCUGAUUGGUAAACCAACACACUACAAUUGAUAUCAAAAGGUUUCUCCUGUAAUAUUUUAUCCCUGGACUUGUCAAGUGAAUUCUUUGCAUGUUCAAAAUGGAAACCAUUGAUUAGAACUACAUUCUUUUCUCCUUGUUUUAAUUUGAACCCCACCAUAUGGAUUUUUCCCUUAGGAAAAUCUCCUUUUUGGAGAUCAUGGUGUCACAGUGUUUGGUUCUUUCAUUUUUGUUUUUUAACACUUGUCUCCCUUUAUAUACAAAAGUACGAUAUGAAACCUUCAUUUAAUCUCUGCAGUUCAUCUCAUUUCAAAUGUUUAUGGAAGAAGCACUUCAUUGAAAGUACUGCUGUAAAUAUUCUGCCAUAGGAAUGCUUCUGUCGACAUUCUUUCUCAUUCCAGAAUUCGUCAUCACGCUGCACCGGCCUCGUCUUUGUUGGUAGGUGUCCCAUUUCUAUCUGCUACUCUUUAUUUCGUGGAGUCGAAUCAACACUUUGAAGGCGAGGCUGUGAUAAUGGAACCAGAAGGCUGUUUGAACUUUUGAAACCUUGUGUGGGAUUGAUGGUGGUGCCGAGGCAUGAAAAGCUAGUAUAAGCAAGAAAAGGAGAGAGAAUGUACAGAGACUUGGUGGUGCAUAAUGGAUAUUUUUCAACUUGGCAAGAUGUGUCUCUCAAUCCUGCGGCUUUGGUGAGAGAAUGUGCAGAGAGCAAUGAUCAUAAAUAAUGUACGAAUGUUCUUCACAUUCAAAGGACAUCCACAUCUGUCGGAAGACUUAAAAGUGACUUUGUCAACUGCUAAGGGAAUGAAAAAAAGACGUAUUUUCUUUAUCCUAGAUGAUAUGUAUUUCCCCAUGUUCCUUUACACCCAUUGGCUCCACUAUAAUGCUAGGUAAGAAAAUGACUCUUUAUUUUUAUUUUAUUUCUAUUAAUUAAUUAAUUAAUUAGGCUUUU
Molecule: long non-coding RNA, 1218 nt
Filed under: Sus scrofa (pig)
Lineage: Eukaryota; Metazoa; Chordata; Mammalia; Artiodactyla; Suidae
Description: lncRNA (ENSSSCG00040073331.1)
Source: RNAcentral